GAUUAUGGCUCAGGAUGAACGCUAGCUACAGGCUUAACACAUGCAAGUCGAGGGGCAGCAUGGCUUAGCUUGCUAAGAUUGAUGGCGACCGGCGCACGGGUGAGUAACGCGUAUCCAACCUUCCCUAUAGUAGGGGAUAGCCCGUAGAAAUGCGGAUUAAUACCCUAUGUUGUAUUUCGAUGACAUCUGACGAAUACCAAAGGUUCACCGCUAUAGGAUGGGGAUGCGUCUGAUUAGGUAGUCGGCGGGGUAACGGCCCACCGAGCCAACGAUCAGUAGGGGUUCUGAGAGGAAGGCCCCCCACAUUGGAACUGAGACACGGUCCAAACUCCUACGGGAGGCAGCAGUGAGGAAUAUUGGUCAAUGGGCGAGAGCCUGAACCAGCCAAGUAGCGUGCCAGGAUGACGGCCCUAUGGGUUGUAAACUGCUUUUAUGCGGGGAUAAAGUGAGGGACGUGUCCCUUAUUGUAGGUACCGCAUGAAUAAGGACCGGCUAAUUCCGUGCCAGCCGCAGC
RNAcentral lists this ribosomal RNA (514 nucleotides) under uncultured bacterium. RNAcentral's name for it is "bacterial SSU rRNA". It matches the Rfam family "Bacterial small subunit ribosomal RNA", at positions 15 to 518 of the family's 1533-position model. The record is from RNAcentral.